RNAcentral lists this ribosomal RNA (517 nucleotides) under uncultured bacterium. RNAcentral describes it as "bacterial SSU rRNA". It matches the Rfam family "Bacterial small subunit ribosomal RNA", at positions 10 to 507 of the family's 1533-position model. The record is from RNAcentral.
AGUUUGAUCAUGGCUCAGGAUGAACGCUGGCGGCGUGCCUAAUACAUGCAAGUCGAGCGAAUGGAUUGAGAGCUUGCUCUCAAGAAGUUAGCGGCGGACGGGUGAGUAACACGUGGGUAACCUGCCCAUAAGACUGGGAUAACCCCGGGAAACCGGGGCUAAUACCGGAUAAUAUUUUGAACUGCAUGGUUCGAAAUUGAAAGGCGGCUUCGGCUGUCACUUAUGGAUGGACCCGCGUCGCAUUAGCUAGUUGGUGAGGUAACGGCUCACCAAGGCAACGAUGCGUAGCCGACCUGAGAGGGUGAUCGGCCACACUGGGACUGAGACACGGCCCAGACUCCUACGGGAGGCAGCAGUAGGGAAUCUUCCGCAAUGGACGAAAGUCUGACGGAGCAACGCCGCGUGAGUGAUGAAGGCUUUCGGGUCGUAAAACUCUGUUGUUAGGGAAGAACAAGUGCUAGUUGAAUAAGCUGGCACCUUGACGGUACCUAACCAGAAAGCCACGGCUAACUACGUG